UACGGAGGGUGCAAGCGUUAUUCGGAAUUACUGGGCGUAAAGCGCACGUAGGCCGCUUUGUAAGUCAGGGGUGAAAUCCCACGGCUCAACCGUGGAACUGCCCUUGAAACUGCAGAGCUUGAAUCCUGGAGAGGGUGGCGGAAUUCCUGGUGUAGGAGUGAAAUCCGUAGAUAUCAGGAGGAACACCGGUGGCGAAGGCGGCCACCUGGACAGGUAUUGACGCUGAGGUGCGAAAGUGUGGGGAGCAAACAGGAUUAGAUACCCUGGUAGUCCACACCGUAAACGAUGGAUACUAGGUGUCGGGGACUUGAUCUUCGGUGCCGUAGCUAACGCGUUAAGUAUCCCGCCUGGGGAGUACGGUCGCAAGGCUGAA
RNAcentral lists this ribosomal RNA (373 nucleotides) under uncultured bacterium. RNAcentral's name for it is "bacterial SSU rRNA". It matches the Rfam family "Bacterial small subunit ribosomal RNA", at positions 524 to 898 of the family's 1533-position model. The record is from RNAcentral.